UACAGAGGGGGGCAAGCGUUUAUUCGGAAUUAUUGGGCGUAAAGGGCGCGUAGGCGGCCUGGCAAGUGGAAGGUGAAAUCCCUCGGCUUAACCGAGGAACUGCCCUCCAAACUGCUUGGCUUGAGUCCGGGAGAGGUGAGUGGAAUUCCCCAGUGUAGCGGUGAAAUGCGUAGAUAUUGGGAGGAACACCAGUGGCGAAGGCGGCUCACUGGACCGGAACUGACGCUGAGGCGCGAAAAGCGUGGGGAGCAAACGGG
This 257-nucleotide ribosomal RNA is filed under the name uncultured bacterium. RNAcentral's name for it is "partial 16S ribosomal RNA". It matches the Rfam family "Bacterial small subunit ribosomal RNA", at positions 524 to 776 of the family's 1533-position model. The record is from RNAcentral.